CAGCCGCCGCGGUAAUACGGAGGGUGCAAGCGUUAUCCGGAUUUAUUGGGUUUAAAGGGUCCGUAGGCGGACUUAUAAGUCAGUGGUGAAAGCCUGUCGCUUAACGAUAGAACUGCCAUUGAUACUGUAAGUCUUGAGUAUAUUUGAGGUAGCUGGAAUAAGUAGUGUAGCGGUGAAAUGCAUAGAUAUUACUUAGAACACCAAUUGCGAAGGCAGGUUACCAAGAUAUAACUGACGCUGAGGGACGAAAGCGUGGGUAGCGAACAGGAUUAGAUACCCCUGUAGUCCCUGUCUCUUAUAC
RNAcentral lists this ribosomal RNA (301 nucleotides) under uncultured bacterium. RNAcentral's name for it is "partial 16S ribosomal RNA". It matches the Rfam family "Bacterial small subunit ribosomal RNA", at positions 509 to 807 of the family's 1533-position model. The record is from RNAcentral.